This 214-nucleotide long non-coding RNA is filed under the name Elaeis guineensis (African oil palm). Its description in RNAcentral is "long non-coding RNA (EGUI_LNC024678)". Lineage: Eukaryota; Viridiplantae; Streptophyta; Magnoliopsida; Arecales; Arecaceae. The record is from RNAcentral.
AGUCCGACACGGAAGGCCUCCUGAUACAGGCAGAAACGGCCAGGUGGGGGGUGCUAGUCCGGUCGGCGGGACCAGAAAGCUCCAGAUCGUACUCCGGAGGAACUCCAUACUGAACCCUUAUCAGUAAAAGUUUAUCCAGAGUCAGAAAACAGGGAAUGGCACCCGGUGCAAAAAUUGGGCGAGGCCCAGCCCUAGAUGUGGGUUCGUCUAUAGU